GGAAAGAUUGCAGAUGUCUGGUCUUGUGGAGUGACUUUGUAUGUCAUGCUGGUGGGAGCAUACCCUUUUGAAGACCCAGAGGAACCCAAAAAUUUUCGGAAGACAAUACAGCGAAUCUUGAACGUACAAUAUUCGAUUCCUGAUUAUGUACAUAUCUCUCCUGAAUGUCGUCAUCUAAUAUCAAGGAUUUUUGUUGCAGAUCCUGCAAAGAGGAUAUCAAUCCCUGAGAUCAAGAACCAUGAGUGGUUCUUGAAGAACCUUCCUGCUGAUCUAAUGGAUGACAA
This 284-nucleotide unclassified non-coding RNA is filed under the name Hevea brasiliensis (rubber tree). Lineage: Eukaryota; Viridiplantae; Streptophyta; Magnoliopsida; Malpighiales; Euphorbiaceae. The record is from RNAcentral.